GGGCAAUACCAAACAAGCCUUAAGCAGUACACCUCUCUCAAGUGAAAAUGGCAGGUCCUUCCAUCAAAGCCACUAGAAGGUGGCCCUGAGCGCUGGCCGCAAAGAACUGCAGCCCAUUCUGCAAUUUCUGUGCCUGCCCACCUCCCAGCUACACUGCGGCGGGUGUCCCUGCUCCUAAAAGCCACAGCAGGAGACCUAUUCCAGCUCUCUGCCGAUUCACCUCCCCCAGGUAAAAGGCAGCCGACAGGCCAAAGAACAUCUUCUCUGACAGAGUAAUUUCUUCAAAAGCCAAAGCAAGAAAACCUAGGAAUCCCUGUGCCAAGUGGGAGAUCCUGGACCUCUGGAUGGAGCUCAGCCCCAGGAAGAGUCACGAAGCAAGGAUGUGUGCUGUCCUAGAGGCAAGGACCAGACACUGGGAUGCCGGGGAAGAGAGGUAGGGGCUGAGUUCCGGACUGCCCCCGGGAACACUGGACAGGAAGACCGUUAAGUGGAAGGUGUGGCCUCUUACAGGGUAGAGGGGCUUCCUUCUGCGAGUGUCCCUCUCCAGACCUACUCAAUAUACCGUCAGAGACGUCACUGUCCUGAAGCUCUACCAUGCACUGUCCCGAGAAUGGCCACAAGCCACUGGGGCUAUUCAUGUUCAAAUUUAAAUUGAUUAAAAUUAAAUAAAACCCAAAAUUCAGUCAUUCUAGCCACAUUUCCAGGGCUCCAGGGCUCCAGAGCCCUACGUGGCUAGUGGCUACCAUACCGGACAGCACAACACAGAAUGUUUCCAUUG
Zalophus californianus (California sea lion) is the source of this 778-nucleotide long non-coding RNA. RefSeq lists it as uncharacterized. The transcript is spliced from 3 exons. Lineage: Eukaryota; Metazoa; Chordata; Mammalia; Carnivora; Otariidae. The record is from RefSeq and is a predicted model, not a curated record.